This 435-nucleotide ribosomal RNA is filed under the name uncultured microorganism. RNAcentral's name for it is "bacterial SSU rRNA". It matches the Rfam family "Archaeal small subunit ribosomal RNA", at positions 330 to 768 of the family's 1478-position model. The record is from RNAcentral.
GCGCAGCAGGCGAGAAACCUCCGCAAUGCGGGAAACCGCGACGGGGGGACCCCGAGUGCCGUGGCAACGCCACGGCUUUUCCGGAGUGUAAAAAGCUCCGGGAAUAAGGGCUGGGCAAGGCCGGUGGCAGCCGCCGCGGUAAUACCGGCGGCCCGAGUGGUGGCCGCUAUUAUUGGGCCUAAAGCGUCCGUAGCCGGGCCCGUAAGUCCCUGGCGAAAUCCCACGGCUCAACCGUGGGGCUUGCUGGGGAUACUGCGGGUCUUGGGACCGGGAGAGGCGGGGGGUACCCCUGGGGUAGGGGUGAAAUCCUAUAAUCCCAGGGGGACCGCCAGUGGCGAAGGCGCCCCGCUGGAACGGGUCCGACGGUGAGGGACGAAGGCCAGGGGAGCAAACCGGAUUAGAUACCCGCGUAGUCCUGAGACUCCAAGGCACACA